GCUGGUGUAGCUCAGUUGGCUAGAGCAGCUGAUUUGUAAUCAGCAGGUCGGGGGUUCGAGUCCCUUCACCAGCUCCA
Molecule: transfer RNA, 77 nt
Filed under: Sulfurovum sp. AR
Lineage: Bacteria; Pseudomonadati; Campylobacterota; Epsilonproteobacteria; Campylobacterales; Sulfurovaceae
Also listed under: 14 other names
Description: tRNA-Thr
Rfam family: tRNA
About the family: Transfer RNA (tRNA) molecules are approximately 80 nucleotides in length. Their secondary structure includes four short double-helical elements and three loops (D, anti-codon, and T loops).
Source: RNAcentral